This 254-nucleotide ribosomal RNA is filed under the name uncultured bacterium. RNAcentral's name for it is "partial 16S ribosomal RNA". It matches the Rfam family "Bacterial small subunit ribosomal RNA", at positions 524 to 776 of the family's 1533-position model. The record is from RNAcentral.
UACGGGGGGAGCAAGCGUUGUUCGGAUUUACUGGGCGUAAAGGGCGCGUAGGCGGCCUCUGCAAGUCGACUGUGAAAUCUCCGGGCUUAACCCGGAAAGGUCAGCCGAUACUGCAGGGCUAGAGUGCAGAAGGGGCAACUGGAAUUCUCGGUGUAGCGGUGAAAUGCGUAGAUAUCGUAAGGAAGACCAGUGGCGAAGGCGGGUCUCUGGACAGUUCCUGACGCUGAGGCACGAAGGUCAGGGGAGCAAACGGG